AUUGUUCCCACGCGUCUGCAUGAAUAAGAGAUGUGCUACUUCUAAUCAACUUUUAUUCAUUUAUCAUAAAUCUAUGAUUAUGUGCAUGUUGGGCAAUUUCCAUCAAUGUCGGGAAAAUUUUUGUCCGGCACCCUAAAUCUUUUCCGCCGGUAUGCUUAUAGGUUUUUUUCACGGUCGUUACACUGAACACUGUUGUGAAGUAAACCUUUUCAAUUCUUUAAAUCACGCCAAAAAAUAAUAUUAAAAUAUUAACGUCAAACCUCAAUACUCGGGGAAACAGAAUAUCCCAUGCACCUUGGAAAUUGAAACUCGCAAUUAUGGGUGCACGAAAUUAUCGUGCGCCAUCGCGGAUACGUAGACAAAUUUCCAACCUGUCUGUGUACUGUCAAUUGAAAAUCGUAUUUGGAUAUGACUAUUUAAAUACAAGAAGAUGCACUUUGGACAAAAGUCAUCUGCAUGUUUUUUCCACAUUGAACUCGAAAACAUACUAUUAUCAUAUACUAUUUCUUUAAUUGGAAUUUGGAGAUUUGGCAACAGAAAUGCAGACAAACAGUUAAUUUUUCGCAUUAUCUUUUGCAAUAAAGGCCAAUGUUAUAUCUCCAUAUCAGAAUAUGGCCGCAUACGGCAGCACUUCCCCUUGCGAUAUUGCUUUUUAGUCUAAUCAGCUUAUCACUAAAGCUAAAGCAACAGAGUCAAGAUAUACGCCAAAAACGCUUUACUAUCUUCAUUCCCUGACGACGCAAAAUUGAGUUUCUCCAGAAAAAUAUCAAACAAUUGAAUGUAGAGUUCAUAGAGAGAAACGAAGCACACCACAAGUUCUGUAACAAAACUCGUCUAUCGUACAAAGGCGUUUCUGAUAGAAAACGGAGACUAGAAUAUAUAAUCUGAGGACAGGAGCAGACGACAUAACAGGCAACUACCAAGGAGCAUGUUGAAAUUCUUUUGAAAUUUACUUUGUGUCUUUUCCUUUUCUGAUCACCUGACGUAGAUGUAGUUGGAGCAAUCCUUUCCGGCUUGCGUUUCGACUUCGCGAUAGUAAACAUUCUAUAGUUAAAAUAAGUUACCAAGAACACGAAAAUUGACAUAAAAAAUGCUAAGAGAAUAUUUCCCAGUGUUCUCUUGUAAUACAUUAAUAGGGAUAGGCCGACUGAUAAAAUCAUCAAAAUUAUCAAAACAAAUAGAAGCUUAUUCUUAGUAACUGAUGUUCGAUGGAAAAUUGGAUACGUUAACCCCAAGAAACGUUCAACAUUCAGCAUCAAGAGCGCGAGCAUUGAAAAACCGUGUAGCAAGAGGGAUGUGUGUAUCCUUAUAUGUUUAUGUAGUUCAUCGUCGACUUCUAGAGCCCAGGAAAUUGUUGAUAAUACUAACAAGGGAUGAAUGAUGGUGACAACAGCUAGAUCAAAAGCAGAUAAAACAAGGAUCAUAAAGUAGCAUAAUUUCUUUCGAAGUUGUGACUGAUUUCGUAGACUGAUUAUAACCACGGAAUUCAGGAAUAUCCCUGCAAUCAUGAAGGAAACAUUUACAAGGCACAAAAAUAGUGCGUUAAUGGUGGUAUUUGGAUGCAUUUAUUAACUGAUCUAUUAUAUAACUUGCAAACUCGGCUUUCUGGUUUCACGAGAACUUGCUGAUUUUCCUUUUAAAUGUUGUCUGCAUGUCGAAAAUUGCAUGAAUGUAAAAAUAAACUAAAUAGAGAACGUUUCAUAUAUAAUAUACACCUGCCGCCUGCAGAACUAUGUCCAUAAUUUUGUCAUUUUCAACGGUCACGUGCGGUAUUUGUUUGAUUUAGGGACGGACAAUUAGAAAAGUGAUGCGGGGGCGGGGGGCAAAACCAAAAAAAAAUUAUUCCCAGAAAAAAAUUAGGAAAAAAAAAUCUUCCCAGCAGGCAUAGUGCAAAAAAAAAUUCCUAGCUUGGAAGAUAGGCCUAUAAAUUUCACUUAAAAAAAAUUUCCAGUCAUCAAGUGAGAAAAAAAUUUCUUCUAUAGGUGUGCAAAAAAAAUAUAUUGCCUCUUAGAAAAUCCCCCCCCCCCCUCAUCACUUUUCUAAUGGUCCGUCCCUUAGAGCAUGCGUAUCUCACAACGACUCACAGUCACAGUGAGCCGAGGAGUGAUAUAUUGUUUAUGUUAAAUUUCAAACGUGAACUUCUACAUAUAACUAUAGCAAAGUGUCUUAUACCGACGACGUUACGAUCGUAAACCAAACAACGAAUGCGAAUCGGCUAUCUUUAAAAUAGGGAACGGGAAUGGGGAAAUGCGAGAAUAUAGGUUAGCCUAAUGAAUUUUUCUUUAAAUUUCUAGCCAAAGGCAAAGAAAGAUUUAAAUACGUGUUGAAAAGAAAUCCACUGUAUUGCAAUUAUUUAGAUAAAAGUGUUGGCGUGCACGGACUUCAGUUAUUAAUAAUAAUAUUAUUCCAAUAUUUAGCAUAUUUACAAUUAUUGAGG
RNAcentral lists this long non-coding RNA (2437 nucleotides) under Paramuricea clavata. The record is from RNAcentral. Lineage: Eukaryota; Metazoa; Cnidaria; Anthozoa; Malacalcyonacea; Plexauridae.